GAUGAACGCUAGCGACAGGCUUAACACAUGCAAGUCGAGGGGCAGCAGGGGAGUAGCAAUACUCCCGCUGGCGACCGGCGCACGGGUGAGUAACACGUAUGCAACCUGCCCUUGUCAGGGGGAUAAGCGGAAGAAAUUCCGUCUAAUACCGCAUAACGCUGCGGGGAGACAUCUCCCUGCAGCCAAAGAUUUAUCGGACAAGGAUGGGCAUGCGGCGCAUUAGCUUGUUGGCGGGGUAACGGCCCACCAAGGCGACGAUGCGUAGGGGUUCUGAGAGGAAGGUCCCCCACACUGGUACUGAGACACGGACCAGACUCCUACGGGAGGCAGCAGUGAGGAAUAUUGGUCAAUGGCCGGGAGGCUGAACCAGCCAAGUCGCGUGAGGGAAGACGGUCCUAUGGAUUGUAAACCUCUUUUGUCAGGGAGCAAAAACUGCCACGCGUGGCAGGAUGAGAGUACCUGAAGAAAAAGCAUCGGCUAACUCCGUGCCAGCAGCCGCGGUAAUACGGAGGAUGCGAGCGUUAUCCGGAUUUAUUGGGUUUAAAGGGUGCGUAGGCGGACAGUUAAGUCAGCGGUAAAAUUGAGAGGCUCAACCUCUUCCCGCCGUUGAAACUGAUUGUCUUGAGUGGGCGAGAAGUAUGCGGAAUGCGUGGUGUAGCGGUGAAAUGCAUAGAUAUCACGCAGAACUCCGAUUGCGAAGGCAGCAUACCGGCGCCCAACUGACGCUGAAGCACGAAAGCGUGGGUAUCGAACAGGAUUAGAUACCCUGGUAGUCCACGCAGUAAACGAUGAAUACUAAUUGUUCGGGUCGAGUGAGAUCUGAGUGAUACAGCGAAAGCGUUAAGUAUUCCACCUGGGGAGUACGCCGGCAACGGUGAAACUCAAAGGAAUUGACGGGGGCCCGCACAAGCAGAGGAACAUGUGGUUUAAUUCGAUGAUACGCGAGGAACCUUACCCGGGCUCAAACGACACAGGAAUGAUCUGAGAAAUCAGGCAGUCCUUCGGGACCUGUGUCGAGGUGCUGCAUGGUUGUCGUCAGCUCGUGCCGUGAGGUGUCGGCUUAAGUGCCAUAACGAGCGCAACCCCCAUCGACAGUUGCCAGCAGGUCAAGCUGGGCACUCUGUCGAGACUGCCGGCGCAAGCUGUGAGGAAGGCGGGGAUGACGUCAAAUCAGCACGGCCCUUACGUCCGGGGCGACACACGUGUUACAAUGGCAGGUACAGCGGGAAGCCACCUGGCGACAGGGAGCGGAACCCGAAAGCCUGUCUCAGUUCGGAUUGGAGUCUGCAACUCGACUCCAUGAAGCUGGAUUCGCUAGUAAUCGCGCAUCAGCCACGGCGCGGUGAAUACGUUCCCGGGCCU
RNAcentral lists this ribosomal RNA (1362 nucleotides) under uncultured bacterium. RNAcentral describes it as "16S ribosomal RNA". It matches the Rfam family "Bacterial small subunit ribosomal RNA", at positions 28 to 1381 of the family's 1533-position model. The record is from RNAcentral.